Molecule: ribosomal RNA, 503 nt
Filed under: uncultured bacterium
Lineage: Bacteria
Description: bacterial SSU rRNA
Rfam family: Bacterial small subunit ribosomal RNA
Source: RNAcentral
AACGAACGCUGGCGGCGCGCCUAAUACAUGCAAGUCGAGCGAGAAGGUGUAGCAAUACACUUGUAAAGCGGCGAACGGGUGAGGAAUGCAUGGGUAACCUACCCUCGAGUGGGGAAUAACUAGCCGAAAGGUUAGCUAAUACCGCAUACGUUUCCGGAACUUCGGUUUCGGAAAGAAAGCAAUACCGUGGGUAUUGCGCUCCUGGAUGGGCUCAUGUCCUAUCAGCUUGUUGGUGAGGUAACGGCUCACCAAGGCUUCGACGGGUAGCUGGUCUGAGAGGACGAUCAGCCACACUGGCACUGCGACACGGGCCAGACUCCUACGGGAGCAGCAGUAAGGAAUAUUGCGCAAUGGACGAAAGUCUGACGCAGCGACGCCGCGUGGGGGAUGAAGGUCUUCGGGAUUGUAAACCCCCUUUCGGGAGGGAAGAUGGAGUGGGUAACCACUUGGACGGUACCUCCAGAAGCAGCCACGGCUAACUUCGUGCCAGCAGCCGCGGUAAU